GCCUUGUUAGCGCAGUAGGUAGCGCGUCAGUCUCAUAAUCUGAAGGUCGAGAGUUAGAUCCUCACACAGGGCA
RNAcentral lists this transfer RNA (73 nucleotides) under Pelobates cultripes (western spadefoot toad). RNAcentral describes it as "tRNA.Met". It matches the Rfam family "tRNA". Rfam says of the family: Transfer RNA (tRNA) molecules are approximately 80 nucleotides in length. Their secondary structure includes four short double-helical elements and three loops (D, anti-codon, and T loops). Lineage: Eukaryota; Metazoa; Chordata; Amphibia; Anura; Pelobatidae. The record is from RNAcentral.